Molecule: ribosomal RNA, 385 nt
Filed under: uncultured bacterium
Lineage: Bacteria
Description: bacterial SSU rRNA
Rfam family: Bacterial small subunit ribosomal RNA
Source: RNAcentral
AUUGAACGCUGGCGGCAUGCUUUACACAUGCAAGUCGAACGGCAGCGCGGGGGCAACCCUGGCGGCGAGUGGCGAACGGGUGAGUAAUGCAUCGGAACGUAUCCUGUAAUGGGGGAUAACGUAGCGAAAGUUACGCUAAUACCGCAUACGCUCGAGAGAGGAAAGUGGGGAUCGCAAGACCUCACGUUAUAGGAGCGGCCGAUGUCCGAUUAGCUAGUUGGUGGGGUAAAGGCCUACCAAGGCGACGAUCGGUAGCUGGUCUGAGAGGAUGAUCAGCCACACUGGGACUGAGACACGGCCCAGACUCCUACGGGAGGCAGCAGUGGGGAAUUUUGGACAAUGGGCGAAAGCCUGAUCCAGCCAUGCCGCGUGCGGGAAGAAGGCC